CUUCCUGAAUAAACAAAAACAGAGGAGAACAGUUGGGCAGGUUUUGGCCCAGGCCAGAGCUGAACUGCAGAAGAAGCUGAUAAAAGAUACCUCAGUGAGUUCACCUUCCUCCACUGUCUGUGUGUGUCCUGGACAGAACGUCUGGAUGUAAUCCGUCGCGUGGGGAGGAGGGGGAGUUUCAGAAAGGAAGAGAGAAAGUGAAACUGUUAGGAGAUUUAAAAGUUCUUGGUAGGAGUCACAACAACAUCUUCACUGAGAAAAAUAAUGGAAAAAGGAUAUGCAAUUCUCUCAUAUAACACGUAUACAAAUGCUGUCAGUGUUAAUAUCACAGAGGAGUCUGAGUGCUUCAUUUGCAGAGAUGUGGGCCUGAUGGGUGAAGAUCCACUGAGAACCUUCUGCGACUGUAAGAACCUUGUGGCUCACCACAGCUGUCUUCUAACCUGGAUCAAAAAGGGUCUUGGACGAGAGGAGAGACUAAGAUGUAGUGUCUGCAAUGCUGAGUAUCAGCUACAGAGAUGUGCACCCUGGCGGACCGUGGCCUCUCAGUGGCAGACCUGGUCCAUUCUAGUCAUCGCUGUUCUCCUGCUGGCUCUUGUGCCAUAUGUGGUGUACCGGAUGAUGACUGCUUUUGACAGUCCCCCUCCACACUUGCUCUUCAAGUCAGCUGCAAUCUGCUUUGGCCUGCUUAGUGAAGCCCUGUUGAUCAAGUGCUUGUGCAGUUACUUCAGCCACCGACUCCAGCGAGCAGAGCAAAGCUCCUUUAGCCUCCAGCCUCGCAGAUCUGAAGAGCAUGAAGUCCAUACCAGUCUGAGGCAGGGGUCAAAGGUUAGGACUCACAGGUAGCGGCGAGAGAGAGGAACCUCCUUGCUUGUAAGCUCUGAGAGGAGAGGAUCAGGGCUUCUAAUGUUAAAUAUGAAAAAAAAACUGACUUAUUUAAAUGUCUGGAGAGAUCCUGCUGCCGACACUGGCAGAGGUUCAGCAGAAAAACUGAAAUUGAUGAUGCCGCCGCUCUGUUUUCCUGGGUUGAAAAUUAAUGGAUGCUUUAUUGUUAGAUGGAUUUCGAUGUUAUGAUCAAAACAGUGUUUAAUCAGUACAGUUGAGUUGGUACAAAGCUUUAUCAAUUUACUUUAUCAAUAUCCCAAAGCACUUUUGCCAUAUAAUAGUUUUAUAUAAUUCAUUGCACGUCACUUUUUAAUGGUUUGACUUUUUCAAGGGAUUGUGAGAACUUCUGAGCCCAUUUGUCAAGGACUUUCAGAAACAGUGCUGAUACAAUCCAAAUAUAAAAGUAUUUUUCACUCAGUAAACAUUUUUACAAUUUUUAAGUAAUACAUUUCUUGUUUUUCUUUUGGAUUGCUUUUUUAUUUCUUCACCCAGCAUAUAGGUAUAAUUUUUUUUCCACCUUUCCAGAAACAAACUUAAUGAUCCAGUCAGGUUCCUUAUAAAAUUGUAAUUGCCAGUGCAAGCAGUGCUUAUGUCCUCAUAAUAAAUUGUAUUUUCUGUGUCAUUUAAAGAAAUGUAUUAAAAAAAAAAUCAAUCUCUUGUCUGUUCUUCAUCUUUGUGCUCAGAACAAGUAUAACAUUCUUAAACUAUGCUUGCAGCACUGAAUAAGGUAGCAAUAUUCUAAUGACAUGAUUAAUGAGGAUUGAGACCAUGGUAAUAGGUGUUAAGCUUGUUCAUAAAAGGAAAGGUUGAGCACUGUACUUCAGUUACUAUAUUCCCGCAUGUUAAUAAAAGUGCUGAGAGCUGAGUGGGAGCAGUCAGUGAUCUCUUUUCUUUAUCUGCAGAGUGUGUACAUGUAUCACAGAGU
Long non-coding RNA from Sinocyclocheilus anshuiensis, 1807 nucleotides. NCBI's taxonomy places the organism in Eukaryota, Metazoa, Chordata, Actinopteri, Cypriniformes, Cyprinidae. The record is from Ensembl.